RNAcentral lists this ribosomal RNA (497 nucleotides) under uncultured bacterium. RNAcentral's name for it is "partial 16S ribosomal RNA". It matches the Rfam family "Bacterial small subunit ribosomal RNA", at positions 28 to 507 of the family's 1533-position model. The record is from RNAcentral.
GAUGAACGCUGGCGGCGUGCCUAACACAUGCAAGUCGAGCGAACAGAUGAUGAGCUUGCUCCUCUGACGUUAGCGGCGGACGUGUGAGUAACACGUGUAUAACCUACCUAUAAUUCUGGUAUAACUUCGGGAAACCGGCUCUAAUACCGGAUAAGAUAUUGAACCGCAUUGUUCAUUAGUGAAAUACGGUUUUGCUGUCACUUCUAGAUGGAUCUGCGCCGCAUUAGCUAGUUGGUAAGGUAACGGCUUACCAAGGCAACGCUGCGUAGCCGACCUGAGAGGGUGAUCGGCCACACUGGAACUGAGACACGGUCCAGACUCCUACGGGAGGCAGCAGUAGGGAAUCGUCCGCAAUGGGCGAAAACCUGACGGAGCAACGCCGAGUGAGUGAUGAAGAUCUUCGGAUCGUGAAACUCUGUUAUUAGGGAAGAACAAAUGUGUAAGUAACUAUGCACGUCUUGACGGUAACUAAUCAGAAAGCCACGGCUAACUACGUG